Molecule: non-coding RNA, 673 nt
Organism: Triticum urartu
Lineage: Eukaryota; Viridiplantae; Streptophyta; Magnoliopsida; Poales; Poaceae
Source: RefSeq, a predicted model, not a curated record
CUUAAGAAAAUCAUUGUCAUGUAAUCUGAUAUAUCAUUAGGUUAUUUGUAAUACUGCUGCAAUUUCUUAUAUAGUUACAAUAAUUUAAUGUGUAGGUGACAAGGCUUUGGAGCCAUGGUUUUCUUAGGUAGCUUUAUUAGGGCAUCGAACUAUUUGGUGCUACAAUUGUUGUAAAUGUCUAACUUUGUAAGAUAUUCAUCAUUGGUUCAUCAUAGUAUGCUUUCUUCUGUGCCUUGUUUCACAGGCUUGCUCUCACUGCUGCUCUAGACAGGGAACGUUGAUGACAACAUACAGGGCCUCUCAGUCUUUAACCCUGACUAUAAAAAUCCAUUGAUGGAAGCCGGGGAGGGCCGAGAUGAACAUCCGGCUCCUGGGUCUAAGCCAUCGAGAUGAUAGAGACGAUGUUUCCAUGUCAUCUACUCCAGCAGCCGGACAAGGCAUAUAAAAACCAUGGAUCCUUGCUCCCCAGGCCGCAAAAUGAUCGCAGUGAUAUCUACGACCUCCUCCUAGGUGUAUUAAUCUCAAUCUCAUGUUUGGUUUUCUUCCCUUUUCUCUUCUAAUGAUGUAAUUUCUUUUACUAAGAUAACACCAUGUUUGUUGUAAUGCCUUAUUUGAUGUAAGAUCCCUUUUCUACUUUGAAUGAAUUUACUGCAUAUAUUUCUUAUUUAGUUUA